This 460-nucleotide ribosomal RNA is filed under the name uncultured bacterium. RNAcentral describes it as "partial 16S ribosomal RNA". It matches the Rfam family "Bacterial small subunit ribosomal RNA", at positions 338 to 795 of the family's 1533-position model. The record is from RNAcentral.
CCUACGGGAGGCAGCAGUGAGGAAUAUUGGUCAAUGGACGCAAGUCUGAACCAGCCAUGCCGCGUGCAGGAAGACGGCUCUAUGAGUUGUAAACUGCUUUUGUACGGGGAUAAACGCAGGUACGCGUAUCUGUCUGAAAGUAUCGUACGAAUAAGGAUCGGCUAACUCCGUGCCAGCAGCCGCGGUAAUACGGAGGAUUCAAGCGUUAUCCGGAUUUAUUGGGUUUAAAGGGUGCGUAGGCGGUCGGAUAAGUUAGAGGUGAAAGCCCGGGGCUCAACUGCGGCAUUGCCUCUGAUACUGUUAGGCUAGAGAGUAGGUGCGGUAGGCGGAAUGUAUGGUGUAGCGGUGAAAUGCUUAGAGAUCGUACAGAACACCGAUUGCGAAGGCAGCAUACCAGGCUACGUCUGACGUUGAGGCACGAAAGCGUGGGGAGCAAACAGGAGUAGAUACCCCAGUAGUC